RNAcentral lists this ribosomal RNA (468 nucleotides) under uncultured bacterium. RNAcentral describes it as "partial 16S ribosomal RNA". It matches the Rfam family "Bacterial small subunit ribosomal RNA", at positions 28 to 507 of the family's 1533-position model. The record is from RNAcentral.
GACGAACGCUGGCGGCGUGCUUAACACAUGCAAGUCGAACGGAAAGGCCCUGCUUUUGUGGGGUGCUCGAGUGGCGAACGGGUGAGUAACGCGUGAGUAACCUGCCCUUGACUUUGGGAUAACUUCAGGAAACUGGGGCUAAUACCGGAUAGGAGCUCCUGCUGCAUGGUGGGGGUUGGAAAGUUUCGGCGGUUGGGGGUGGACUCGCGGCUUAUCAGCUUGUUGGUGGGGUAGUGGCUUACCAAGGCUUUGACGGGUAGCCGGCCUGAGAGGGUGACCGGCCACAUUGGGACUGAGAUACGGCCCAGACUCCUACGGGAGGCAGCAGUGGGGAAUAUUGCACAAUGGGCGGAAGCCUGAUGCAGCAACGCCGCGUGCGGGAUGACGGCCUUCGGGUUGUAAACCGCUUUCGCCUGUGACGAAGCGUGAGUGACGGUAAUGGGUAAAGAAGCACCGGCUAACUACGUG